UGGGGAAUUUUGGACAAUGGGCGAAAGCCUGAUCCAGCAAUGCCGCGUGUGUGAAGAAGGCCUUCGGGUUGUAAAGCACUUUUGUCCGGAAAGAAAUCCUUGGCUCUAAUACAGUCGGGGGAUGACGGUACCGGAAGAAUAAGCACCGGCUAACUACGUGCCAGCAGCCGCGGUAAUACGUAGGGUGCAAGCGUUAAUCGGAAUUACUGGGCGUAAAGCGUGCGCAGGCGGUUUGCUAAGACCGAUGUGAAAUCCCCGGGCUCAACCUGGGAACUGCAUUGGUGACUGGCAGGCUAGAGUAUGGCAGAGGGGGGUAGAAUUCCACGUGUAGCAGUGAAAUGCGUAGAGAUGUGGAGGAAUACCGAUGGCGAAGGCAGCCCCCUGGGCCAAUACUGACGCUCAUGCACGAAAGCGUGGGGGAGCAAAACAGGAUUAGAUACCCCUGGUAGUCCCACGCCCUAAAACGAUGUCAACUAGUUGUUGGGGAUUCAUUUCCUUAGUAACGUAGCUAACGCGUGAAGUUGACCGCCUGGGGAGUACGGUCGCAAGAUUAAAACUUAAAGGAAUUGACGGGGUCAUAGCUGUUU
This 587-nucleotide ribosomal RNA is filed under the name uncultured bacterium. RNAcentral describes it as "partial 16S ribosomal RNA". It matches the Rfam family "Bacterial small subunit ribosomal RNA", at positions 355 to 935 of the family's 1533-position model. The record is from RNAcentral.